AUGGAGGAGGAAUGCAAUGUGCUGGAGAGUAUACUUGACGGAAGCAUGAAACCGACGGAUCUACGGUUUUCCCUUCUCGAGAAGAUUACAGCAAAUUUUUCUGAGGAGCGAAGAAUUGGUGUGGGUGGAUUCGCAGUGGUGUACAAGGGUGUCCUCCAAAAUGACGAAGUUGCUGUGAAGAGGAUUAUGAACAACAUGACGAUUGAUGAGACACUAUUUCGUCGGGAGGUCAAUAGCCUGAUGCAGGUCAACCAUCAGAAUAUAGUCCGGUUUCUUGGCUUCUGCUCCAAUACAACACAUAAACAACUGAAAUAUGAAGGACGAUACAUUUACGCUGAGAGUAGAGAGAGAUUACUAUGCUUCGAGUACAUAAAAAAGGGAAGCCUUGAUAAAUAUAUUACAGAUGAAUUAAGGGGACUUGCAUGGAAUACACGGUAUAAUAUAAUCAAAGGAAUAUGCAAGGGACUGGAGUAUCUUCACAUGGAUAGGCAUAUCGUUCAUAUGGACUUGAAACCAGCUAAUAUACUAUUAGACAAUGAUAUGAUGGCCAAGAUUACUGAUUUUGGGUUAUCGAGAAUGGACGAAAGUUCAAGAACCACAAGUACAAACCGCUUUAUUUCACCGGGAUACUGUGCUCCAGAAUAUCUACUCCAUGGAAAAAUAUCAGUCAAGUCUGAUGUGUAUAGCCUCGGUGUUAUAAUAAUCGAACUGGUGACAGGGCAGAGGCAUAUUUCUGAUAAAAAUAAUGUACUUAGAAGAUGGAGGCAUAGAUGGAAUAUAUCAGGGCAAGAAACACCAUGCAUAUAUCAACAAGUAGCUAAAGUUAUCGAAAUUGGGCUACUCUGCAAGGAAAGUGACCCCUAUAAGAGGCCCUUUAUAUCUGAGAUAAUAUGUGAUAUAAAUGAACUAGAAAGCACAGAUAAGCAAAUCAGCAACGCCGAUGAAUCUACUGUUGGGCAGAUAAGCCCCUACCCAGAGGAUGACAUGCUUGGAAUUGAGUCGCUCGAGUUGCAUUUUCCUUUUGAACUCAACAAGCAGACGUCAUGCUCACUUCGACUGACGAAUGAGACAAAUUCUUAUAUUGCCUUCUCCAUCCACACGACGAGCCCCCUUCCAUAUUGUAUAGAACCAACCGAAGGCAUUGUGGCACCACGAUCCAUUUAUACUGUCAACAUAACAUUGCAACCACUAGACAAGGCACCACAAGAUAAGCAUCACACUGGCUAUUUCGCUGUGCGGAGCACCAAAUUGAAUACAUCUGAGAAUAUAACCGAAGAUAUGUUCAAGGAACAGAAGGGUAAAUUGGUUGAUGAGGUGAAUCUGACGGUUACGCAUGAGCCUCGUGAGCCCCACAUGGAUCUGCCACUUGAGAUGCUAACAAUUUCAGGUACAGGAAAUCUAAAGAGUCUAGAGGCAUCCAGUGCGUUAGCAGAGGCAAAAUCCAAGAUAAGGUCGCAGACCUUAGAUGAGCUUAUCCAGUUUGAUCCCCCUGAGAUCGGAUUCCCUUUCUUGCCAAACAAGACCCUGAUGUCCUCUGUUUCUAUAGUCAACAUUACGGAUUCCUACGUUGCUUUCAAUGCCAGCAUAUGUGAUAAAGUGGUGUAUAGUAUGCAACCAGACAAAGGAAUUCUGUCACCACGGUCCAGUAAAAAAUUAUUGGUGGUAAGGUCGCCAAUGGAAAUGGAACAACAAGACAUGCAGUGCAAUGACAAGCUCUUUAUGUGGAACCGCGUGGUGACUGAAGGUGUCGAAGCCAGCGACAUUGUUGAUUACUUAGGUGAUGAUGAACGUAAAAAGUUGCCCAUUGUUCUUAACAAGACAAGCCCACCAUGUACCUCAGAGGAGCUGAUCCGAUUUGACCCACCUGAGCUUUGCUUCCCAUUCAUGCCAAACAAGACAAUGGUGUGCUCCAUUAAUAUGGUCAACAAUACAGAGUACUCUGUCGGUUUUGGUAAUUAUAUCAACAAAGAAACUUUGGCAUCAUACUACACAAAACCGCAGAGAGGAAUCAUGCCACCAAGAUCUACUCAAAGACUUGUAGUAAGAAGGGUACUAAAGAAAAAUGAACUAGGAGAAGCUAUACAGGGGGAAGACAAGUUCUUUAUUGGGAACAUGAUUGUGACAAAAGGCGCCGAAGCCAGUGACCUCACUGAUUUAGUGUUUGAUAAAGGCAAUACGCAGUUGCCCAUAGUCUUUGAAAAGAUAAGCUCAUUAAGCACCUUCGACGAAUUGAUUCAGUUCGAUCCUCCCCAACUCCGCUUCCCGUUCAUGCCAACCAAGAGGGUGCUUAUGAUGUGCUCAAUUAAAAUAAUCAAUGUUACUGAUCACCGUGUAGGUUUCAACAAUUGGUACCGGAAGAGCAAUUCAGCAUGCUACAUCACAACUCCAAUCCGAGGAAUCCUGGCACCACGCUCCACACAAGAACUCAAGGUAAUAAGGGUACCAAAGGAAAAUGAAUCACAUGACAUGUCGUGCACAGAUGUGGUUGGUGUGUGGAAUGGCGUUGUGACUGAAGGCAUCGAGGAGACAGAUCUAUAUGGUUAUAUAAGUGAUGAAGAGAGUCAGCAGUUUCCCAUAGUUUAUACGAAGACAAGCCCACCAUAUACCUCAGAGGAGCUGAUCCGAUUUGACCCACCUGAGCUCAGCUUCCCCUACAAGCCAAACAAAACGAUGGUGUCCUCUGUUAAUAUGGUCAACAAUACAGAUUACUCCGUCGGUUUUAACAAUCAUAUCGACAAAGGAACUUUGGUGUCCUACUACACAAAACCGCAGAGAGGAAUUAUGCCACCAAGAUCCACUCAAAGGCUUGUAGUAAGAAGGGAACUAAGGAAAAAGGAACAAGCAGAAGACAUCCAGGGGGAAGGCAAGUUCUUUAUGGGGAACAUGAUUGUGGUAGAAGGCAUCGAAGCCAGUGACCUCACUCGCUUGGUGCCUGAUAAAGAAAAUACAAUGUUGCCCAUUGUCUUUCAGAAGACAAGCUUACUAAGCACCUCAGACGAGUUGAUCCAGUUUGAUCCUCCCCAACUCCGCUUCCCCUUCUUGCCCAACAAGAGAGUGUGUAUGGUGUGCUCAAUUAAAAUAGUCAAUGUGACAGAUCACUAUGUUGGUUUCAACAAUUGGUACAGGAAGAGCAAUUCAGCGAGGUACAAUGCAACUCCGGUCCGAGGAAUCCUGCCACCACGGUCCACACAAGAACUCAAGGUAAUAAGGGUACCAAAAGAAAAUGAAUCACAGGACAUGCCGUGCAAAGAUGUCUUUGGUGUAUGGAAUGGCGUUGUGAUGGAAGGCAUCGAAGCUACAGAUCUAUAUAAUUACAUGAAUGUUGAAGAUAGUAAGCAGUUGCCCAUAGUUUAUACAAAGACAAGCCCACCAUCUACCUCAGAGGAGCUAAUCCGAUUUGACCCACCUGAGCUCAGCUUCCCCUUUCAGCCAAACAAGACAAUGGUUGCAUCCGUUAAUAUGGUCAACAAUACAGAUUACUCAAUAGGUUUUAAUAAUCAUAUCGACAAAGGGACUUUGGCGUCGUACUACACAAAACCGCAGAGAGGAAUUAUGCCACCAAGAUCCAUUCAAAGACUUGUAGUAAGAAGGGUACUAAAGAAAAAGGAACAAGCAGAAGACAUCCAGGGGGAAGACAAGUUCUUUAUGGGGAACGUGAUUGUGACAAAAGGUGUCGAAGCCAGCGACCUCAGUGAUUUAGUGCCUGAUAAAGACAAUGCCCGGUUGCCCAUUGUCUUUGAGAAGACAAGCUUGUUAUGCACCUCGGAUGAGUUGAUCCGAUUUGAUCCUCCUGAACUCUGCUUUCCCUUCUUGCCAAACAAGAGGGCGCCUGUAUUGUACUCAGUUAAAAUAUUCAAUGUUACAGAUUACUGUGUUGGUUUCAACACAUGGGUCUACCCGCGCAAUUCUGCAAGAUACCGCAUAAUUCCCUCUAAAGGAAUCCUGCCACCACGGUCCACACAAACAGUCAAGAUCAAAGGGGUGCCAAAAGAAAAGGCACCAGAAGACACACGAUGCAAAGACGUGAUUGGUGUGUGGAAUUCCAUUGUGACUAAAGGUGUCAAAGCUAGCGAUUUCAUUAAUUACAUGGAUGUAAAUGAGAGUAAGCAAUUGCCCAUUGUUCUUAAAAAGACAACCUUAUUAUGCGCCUCAGCUGAUUUGAUCCAGUUUGAUCCUCCUGAGCUUCGCUUCCCCUUCUUGCCAAACAAGAGGGUGCCCAUGGCGUGCUUUAUUAAAAUAGUGAACACUACAGAUCAUUGCAUCGGUUUCAAUUCAUGGAAUUACAAGAGCAAUUCAGCCUUGUACCGCAUGACUCCAGUCCAAGGAAUCCUGCCGCCAGGUUCCACAGAGGUACUCAAGAUAAAAAGGGUAGCACGGGAAAAUGAAUCAGGAGACAUGCAGUGCAAAAACGUCGUCUUUCAUGUGUGGCAAGGCAUUGUGACUAAAGGUGUCGAAGCUACAGAUUUAACUGCUUACAUGGAUGCUGGAGAGACUAUACAGUUGCCCAUAGUUUUUACAAAUACAGACUUAUUAUGCACCUCAGACUAUUUGAUCCAGUUUGAUCCUCCUGAGCUCUGCUUCCCCUUCUUACCAAACAAGAGGGUUCCCAUGGUGUGCUUUAUUAAAAUAGUGAACGCUACAGAUCAUUGGGUCGGUUUCAAUUCAUGGACCUAUGAGAGCAAUUCAGCAUCAUACUACAUGACUCCGGACUCAACAAUUCUGCCACCAGGUUCCACACAGGUACUCAUGAUAAAAAGGAUAGCAAAUGAAAAUGAAUCAGAAGACAUGUGGCGGAAAGACGACUAUUUUUUCUUGUGGAAUAGUAUUGUCAAUGAAGAUAUUGAAGCUAGCGAUUUAAUUGACUGCAUGGAUGUUGAAGAGAGUAAGCGGUUGCCCGUAGUUUUUACGAAUACAACCUUAUCAUGCACCUCAGCUGAUUUGGUCCAGUUUGAUCCUCCUGAGCUUCGCUUCCCCUUCUUGCCAAACAAAAGGGUACCCAUGGUAUGCUUUAUUAAAAUAGUGAACUCUACAGAUCAUUGUGUCGGCUUCAAUUCAUGGACCUACGAGGGUACUUCAGCAUCGUACCAAAUGACUCCGGAUCCAGGAAUCCUGACACCAGGUUCCACAGAGGUACUCAUGAUAAAAAGGGUAGCAAAUGAAAAUGAAUCCGAAGACAUGCAAUGCAAAGACGAAUUUUACUUGUGGAAUUGUAUUGUCAAUGAAGACAUCGAAGCUAGCGAUUUAAUUGACUGUGAGGAUGAAGAAGAUAGUAAGCGUUUGCCCAUAGUUUUUACAAAUACAAGCUUAUUAUGCACCUCAGACGAUUGGUUACAGUUUGAUCCUCCAGAGCUCCACUUCCCCUUCUUGACAAACAAGAAGGUGCCCAUGGUGUUCUUUAUUAAAAUAGUGAACGCUACAAAUCAUUGUGUCGGUUUCAAUUCAUGGACCUACGAGAGUACUUCGGUGUCGUACCACAUGACCCCGGACCCAGGAAUCCUGUCUCCAGGUUCCACACAAGUACUCAUGAUAAAAAUGAUAGCAAAUGAAAAUGAAUCAGAAGACAUGCAGUGCAAAGAUAACUUCCUUUACUUGUGGAAUAGUAUUGUGAAUGAAGAUAUCGAAGCUAGUAAUUUGAUUGACUGCGAGGAUGAAGAAGAUAGUAAGCGGUUGCCCAUAGUUUUUACAAAUGCAAGCUUAUUAUGCACCUCAGAGAAUUUGAUCCAGUUUGAUCCUCCCGAACUCCGGUUCACCUUGUCAAACAACAGGGUGUCAAAAUUGUGCUCAGUUGAAAUAGUUAAUGCUACAGAUCACUGCAUUGGUUUUAACGCAUGGGGCAAUGAUAGCAAUUCAUCCCGGUACGACACAACUCCCGGGCAAGGAAUCCUGCCACCACGGUCCACACAAGUACUCAAUGUAAGAAGGGAACUGAAGGAAAAGGAAUCAAAAGACAUGCUGUGCAAAGACGAUGUGUAUAGUGUGUGGUAUGGCAUUGUUUCAGAAGGUAUCAAAGCUACAGAUUUAAGUGUUUACGACGAUGCUGAAGAGAGUAAGCAGCUACCCAUAGUUUUCACAGAGCCUGGUGAAAGCAGUUCAGCUUAG
This 6099-nucleotide ribosomal RNA is filed under the name Triticum aestivum (bread wheat). RNAcentral describes it as "partial small subunit ribosomal RNA". The record is from RNAcentral. Lineage: Eukaryota; Viridiplantae; Streptophyta; Magnoliopsida; Poales; Poaceae.